This 253-nucleotide ribosomal RNA is filed under the name uncultured bacterium. RNAcentral's name for it is "partial 16S ribosomal RNA". It matches the Rfam family "Bacterial small subunit ribosomal RNA", at positions 524 to 776 of the family's 1533-position model. The record is from RNAcentral.
UACGUAGGCAGCAAGCGUUGUUCGGAAUUACUGGGCGUAAAGAGUGUGUAGGUGGUGUCGUAAGUUUGGUGUGAAAUCUCCCGGCUUAACUGGGAGGGUGCGCCGAAGACUGCGAUGCUGGAGUAUGGGAGAGGAAAGCGGAAUUCCUGGUGUAGCGGUGAAAUGCGUAGAUAUCAGGAGGAACACCGGUGGUGUAAACGGCUUUCUGGACCAUAACUGACGCUGAGGCACGAAAGCGUGGGUAGCAAACAGG